Molecule: ribosomal RNA, 456 nt
Filed under: uncultured organism
Description: partial 16S ribosomal RNA
Rfam family: Bacterial small subunit ribosomal RNA
Source: RNAcentral
CGUACACUCCUACGGGAGGCAGCAGUGGGGAAUUUUACGCAAUGGGGGAAACCCUGACGUAGCGACACCGCGUGAGCGAAGAAGCCCUUUGGGGUGUAAAGCUCUGUCAGCUGGAACGAAAACAAUGACGGUACCAGCAGAGGAAGCAUCGGCUAACUACGUGCCAGCAGCCGCGGUAAGACGUAGGAUGCGAGCGUUGUCCGGAUUUAUUGGGCGUAAAGAGUUCGUAGGUGGUUUGUUAAGUUUGGUGUUAAAGAUCGGGGCUCAACCCUGGGACUGCACUGAAUACUGGCAGACUCGAGUGUGGUAGAGGCUAGUGGAAUUCCCAGUGUAGCGGUGAAAUGCGUAGAUAUUGGGAAGAACCCCGGUGGCGUAGGCGACUAGCUGGGCCAUAACUGACGCUGAGGAACGAAAGCCAGGGGAGCGAAUGGGAUUAGAAACCCGUGUAGUCCCAUG